CGGAUAUGAACGAUUCAUCGUUCUAAGUGAGUGACGUCACACUGCCAAGAAAAGCUUCUAAUUAGAAUCAGACCGCCCGUACCGCAAACCGACACAGGUAGUCGGGUCGAGAAGACCAAGGUGAGCGAGAGAACUCUCGUUAAGGAACUCGGCAAAAUGACCCCGUAACUUCGGGAGAAGGGGUGCUGAUCGCAAGAUCAGCCGCAGUGAAUAGGCCCAGGCGACUGUUUAUCAAAAACACAGGUUUCUGCAAAAUCGUAAGAUGAAGUAUAGGGGCUGACGCCUGCCCGGUGCUGGAAGGUUAAGAGGAUGGGUUAGCGUAAGCGAAGCUCAGAAUUGAAGCCCCAGUAAACGGCGGCCGUAACUAUAACGGUCCUAAGGUAGCGAAAUUCCUUGUCGGGUAAGUUCCGACCCGCACGAAAGGCGUAACGAUCUGGGCACUGUCUCAACGAGAGACUCGGUGAAAUUAUAAUACCCGUGAAGAUGCGGGUUACCCGCGACAGGACGGAAAGACCCCAUGGAGCUUUACUGUAGCUUGAUAUUGGGUGUUUGUACAACUUGUACAGGAUAGGUAGGAGCCGUAGAAGUCGGGACGCUAGUUUCGACGGAGGCAUCGGUGGGAUACUACCCUCGUUGUAUGAACACUCUAACCCACGCCGGCAAUCACGGCGGGAGACAGUGUCAGGUGGGCAGUUUGACUGGGGCGGUCGCCUCCUAAAAGGUAACGGAGGCGCCCAAAGGUUCCCUCAGAAUGGUUGGAAAUCAUUCGCAGAGUGUAAAGGCAUAAGGGAGCUUGACUGCGAGACCUACAAGUCGAGCAGGGACGAAAGUCGGGCUUAGUGAUCCGGUGGUUCCGCAUGGAAGGGCCAUCGCUCAACGGAUAAAAGCUACCCUGGGGAUAACAGGCUUAUCUCCCCCAAGAGUCCACAUCGACGGGGAGGUUUGGCACCUCGAUGUCGGCUCAUCGCAUCCUGGGGCUGUAGUCGGUCCCAAGGGUUGGGCUGUUCGCCCAUUAAAGCGGUACGCGAGCUGGGUUCAGAACGUCGUGAGGCAGUUCGGUCCCUAUCCGUCGCGGGCGCAGGAAAUUUGAGAGGAUCUGUCCUUAGUACGAGAGGACCGGGAUGGACAUACCGCUGGUGUACCAGUUGUUCUGCCAAGGGCAUCGCUGGGUAGCUAUGUAUGGAUGAGAUAAACGCUGAAAGCAUCUAAGUGCGAAACUCACCUCGAGAUAAGAUUUCCCACUCC
This 1245-nucleotide ribosomal RNA is filed under the name metagenome. Its description in RNAcentral is "bacterial LSU rRNA". It matches the Rfam family "Bacterial large subunit ribosomal RNA", at positions 1565 to 2820 of the family's 2925-position model. The record is from RNAcentral.